AUAACUCUCAGCAAUAGAUAUCUUGGCUCUUGCAUCAAUGAAGAAUAUAGCGAAAUGCGAUACUUGGUGUGAAUUGCAGAAUCUUGUGAGCCAUCGAGUCUUUGAACAUAAGUUGCACCCUAAGCCAUUAGGCUGAGUGCACACCUACCAAGGUGUCAUGCGUCCUUGCCCCCUAAUCCUUCGCCUAUCAAGCUUCGGGUAAGGGGACAAAAAAUGGCCUCUCAUGAUCUCAUCAGUCAUGGUUGACCCAAAAGUGAGUCCCCAACAAUGAUAGCACCAUGACUCUUGAUUGUAAAGCUAACUGCAUGCCUCAUCUUUAGUGAUGCACGCUCACUGGACCCCUUGCAUCACUCAGUCAAUGCUCAUAUCACUCGAUCAAUACUCGCAUCGUGACCUAAGCACAUCAAUAAGUGAAGGAAAAGAAACUUGCCAGGAUUUUCCUAAUAACAGCAAGCAAACCAAGAAAAGCCUAGCUUGAGAAUUAGACGCCCCUAACUUUCGAAUUAUAGUUUGGAAAAUAGUCCUUAGUGAUGGACCAAGCCUAUGACCCUUGGAAGAGGGUGCCAAAGAUGGUGAGAACCCCAUUGUGCAUGGACCCUAUCAUACCACAACGCACUAUCUGUGAGUUAGGUUGUUUGGGAAUACAACCCUAAUCAAGCGGUAAAUUUUGUUUAAGGCUAAAUAGGAGCAAGAGAUCGAUAAUGACCAAGUACUCUAAGGGAAAGAUGAAAAGAACUUUGGAAAAAGUGUCAAAGAUAGCUUGAAAUUGUCAGGAAGGAGGUGGAUGGGUGCCAGUGAUGCUCCAUGAUCUAAUGUGGAACAAAAAAGCUGGUCUAUAGAUCGAUUUGAGGCAUAGACCGAUGCGGGUUGUGACAAUAGCCCAAGCGUAAGCUUCUGCUAUACCUAUGAAGAUGUCAUCACCAUGAUUAUGGAAUGUAGCACACACCAUCUCGACAUGCCUCGAUACCCAUGUGCUCUCAACGUCGGCCUACAGGCUCCCUAUGUAGCCCAUCUUGAAACAUGGACUAAGAAGUCUAACAUGUCUGCGAGUCAAUGGGCUAGGAUACCCAUAAGGUGUAAGGAUGCUGAUUGGUGAGAUCCCUCAUGGGUGUACUGUCGGUUGGCCUUGAUCUUUUGAGAAAGGUUUGAGUGCGAGCAUGCUUAUCAAGCCCUAAAAGAUGGUGAACUAUGCCUAAGUAGGGCCAAGCCAAAAGAAACUUUGAUGAAGGCCCACAACAAUAUUGAUGUGCGAAUGUUUGUCUAAUUUAGGUAUACAGGUGAAAGACUAAUUGAACUAUCUAGUAGUGGUUUCCUCUAAAGUUUCCCUCAAGAUAACUAGAGCCCUUAAUGAGUUCUAUCAAGUAAAGCUAAUGAUUAGAGGCAUUGUGGGUGCAACACCCUUGACAUAUUCUCAAACUUUAAAUAGGUAGGAUAGUGUGGUUACUUCAUUAAGCCAUGCCAUUGAAUCAAGAGCUCUAAUAUAGGCCAUUUUUUGUAAGCAAAACUACUGAUACGAAAUGAAUCAAAAGUUGGGUUAUGGUGCCCAAUUGCAUGCUAACCUAGAACCCAUAAAGGGUGUUGAUUGAUUAAGAUAGUAGGAUUAUGGUCAUGGAAGUCAAUUCACUAAGGAGUGUAUAACAACUCACUUGCCAAAUCAACUAGCCCCAAAAAUGGAUGGCACUUAAGCGUAUGACCCAUACCUGACCAUCGAAGUAAGGGCCAAGCCCUAAUAAGUAAGAGGAUGCGACGGUCACUGCAAAACCCAGGGUGCAAGCCUGGGUAGAGUAGCCAUUAGUGUAGAUCUUGGUGGUAGUAGAAAAUAUUCAAAUGAAACUUUGAAGGCUGAAGAAAGGAAAGGUUCCAUGUGAACGGCACUUACACAUGGGUUAGUCGAUCCUUUGAGAUAGGGGAAGCCUAUCCGAUAACAUGUCUGGUGCGAGCUUCAAAAUGGAAUCCUGUUAAAAUUCCUAAAUUGGGACAUGGUAGUUAAUGGCAAUGUUCGGGAGCUCAAAGACAUUAAUAGGGGCCUUAUGAAGAGUUAUAUUUUCUAUUUAAUGGCCUGCCCACCUUUGAAACAGCUCAGCCGAAGGUAGGGUUAAGCGGUUAAAAAAGCAUCACACAUCACAUGGUGUUUGGUAUACCCUCGAUGACCCUUGAAAAUCUACUAGACCAAGUGCCAUCCACACUUGAUCAUACUUAUAACUGCGUUAGGUCUCCAAGGUUAAUAGCCUUUGGUCAAGAGAACAAUGUAAGCAAGGGAAAUCAGCAAAAUGGAUCCAUAACCUCAGGAAAAAGACUGGCUCCGAGGGCUAGGCAUAGAGUUUCUAGUCCUGAACUCAUCAACUGCUAGUGCACUGCUCGAGCUACUCUCAUGAUGAGAGUGGGACACCACAUGCUAACAAUAAGAUAGACUGGGAAUGGCUCUCUCAAGGGCCUUCAUUGGGUGAUGAACAAUCUACUCAGAACUAGUAUAGACAAGGGGAAUCCAAUUGUUUAAUUAAAACAAAGUAUUGCAAUGGUCCCUAUGGAUGCUCACGUAAAGUGAUUUUUGCCUAGUGCCUUAAAUGUCAAAAUGAAAAAAUUCGACCAAGCAUAGGUAAAUGGUGGGAGUAACUAUAACUCUCUUAAGGUAGCCAAAUGGCUCGUCAUUUAAUUAGUGAUACACAUGAAUGGAUUAAUGAGAUUCCCAUUAUCCCUAUCUACUAUCUAGAGAAACCACAGUAAAAGGAAUAGGCUUGGCAAAAUCAGUGAGGAAAGAAUACCCUAUUGAGCUUGACUCUAGUCCAAUUUUGUGAAAUGACUCAAAAGGUGUAGGAUAAGUGGGAGCCCUCAGGUAAAAUUGAAAUACCACUACUUUUAACAUUAUUUUACUUAAUCCAUGAAUCGAAGGCAAGGCAUGACCCUUUAUUUUUUACCCAAGGCUAGCCUCAAUCAAUCUAUCUAGGCAAAAGACAUUAUCAGGUGAGGUGUUUAGCUAGGGUGGCACAUCUAUUAAAAGAUAAUACAGGUGUCCUAAGAUGAGUUCAAUAAAAACAGAAAUAUUGUGUGGAGCAGAAGGGUAAAAGCUCAUUUAAUUCUAAUUUCUAGUAUGAAUAUAAACCCUAAAAGUGUGGCCUAUCGAUCCUUUAAACUUUGGAAUUUAAAGUUAGAGGAGUUAGAAAAGUUACCAUAGGGAUAACUAGCUGUGGCAGCCAAGCGUUCAUAGUGACAGUGCUUUUUUAUCCUUCAAUGUCAACUUUUCCUAUCAUUAUGAAGUAGAAUUUAGCAAGUGUUUGAUUAUUCACCCACCAAUAUAGAACGUGAACUGGGUCUAGACCAUCAUGAGACAACUUAGUUUUACCCUACUAAAGGUAGCAUUGCAAUAGUAAUUCAACCUAGUGUGAAAAGAACCAUUGAUUCGCACAAUUGGUCAUUGCACUUGGUUGAAAAGCUAGUGGCAUGAAGCUACCAUAUACUAAAUUAUGAUUGAAUGCUUUUAAGUCAAAAUCUUGGCUAAAAGUGAUGUGUGUGCUUGUCACCCAAUUGUUAACCUACAAUAGGGGCCCAUGGCCCCCAAAGGCACAUGUUAUAGGUGCAGCCCCCUUUAAGGACAAGCCACAUAAGCCUGCUUGGAGCUCAAUUCCCAUCGAGCAAUAGGUAGAAUCCUUUGCAA
Molecule: ribosomal RNA, 3652 nt
Filed under: Durio zibethinus
Lineage: Eukaryota; Viridiplantae; Streptophyta; Magnoliopsida; Malvales; Malvaceae
Description: eukaryotic LSU rRNA
Rfam family: Eukaryotic large subunit ribosomal RNA
Source: RNAcentral